RNAcentral lists this transfer RNA (73 nucleotides) under Sedimentibacter sp. MB35-C1. Its description in RNAcentral is "tRNA-Trp". It matches the Rfam family "tRNA". Rfam says of the family: Transfer RNA (tRNA) molecules are approximately 80 nucleotides in length. Their secondary structure includes four short double-helical elements and three loops (D, anti-codon, and T loops). The record is from RNAcentral. RNAcentral also lists the same sequence under 1 other name. Lineage: Bacteria; Bacillati; Bacillota; Tissierellia.
AGGAGUGUAGUUCAGUCGGUAGAACAUUGGUCUCCAAAACCAAGUGUCGUGGGUUCGAGUCCUGCCACUCCUG